This 785-nucleotide ribosomal RNA is filed under the name uncultured archaeon. Its description in RNAcentral is "bacterial SSU rRNA". It matches the Rfam family "Archaeal small subunit ribosomal RNA", at positions 54 to 821 of the family's 1478-position model. The record is from RNAcentral.
CGAGCCGAGAGGGGAGAGCCCUCGGCGUACGGCUGAGUAACACGCGGAUAACCUGCCUCUGGGACCGGGAUAACCCCGGGAAACUGGGACUAAUACCGGAUAGGCCAUGGGUGCUGGAAUGCCCCAUGGCUGAGAGGCCCUGUGGCUAAAGAGAUAAAAGCUAUUAAGGGCGCCCAAAGAUGGGUCUGCGGCCUAUCAGGUUGUAGUGGGUGUAACGUACCUACUAGCCGAAGACGGGCAGGGGUUGUGAGAGCAAGAGCCCCCAGAUGGACUCUGAGACACGAAUCCAGGCCCUACGGGGUGCAGCAGGCGCGAACACUUUACAAUGCGGGCAACCGCGAUAAGGGGACCCCGAGUGCCUGAUGAAGGCUGUCCCGCCGUGUAAAAAGCGGCGGAAAGCAAGGGCCGGGCAAGUCCGGUGCCAGCCGCCGCGGUGACACCGGCGGCCCGAGUGGUGGCCACUUUUGUUUGGUUUAAAGGGCCUGUAACCGGCCUAUUAAGUCUCCUGGGAAAUCUGGCGGCUUAACCGUCAGGCGUCCAGGAGAUACUGGUGGGCUUGGGACCGGGAGAGAUGGGAGGUACUCUAGGGGUAGGGGUGAAAUCCGAAGAUCCCUGGGGGACCAACAGUGGCGAAGGCGUCCCACCAGAACGGCUCCGACGGUGAGGGACGAAAGCUGGGGGCUCAAACCGGAUCAGAUACCCGGGUAGUCCCAGCCCUAAACGAUGCUCGCCAGGCAUCAGGUGCGGUUCGGCCGCACCUGGUGCCGCAGUGAAAACACUAAGCG